RNAcentral lists this transfer RNA (92 nucleotides) under Methylococcaceae bacterium. RNAcentral describes it as "tRNA-Ser". It matches the Rfam family "tRNA". Rfam says of the family: Transfer RNA (tRNA) molecules are approximately 80 nucleotides in length. Their secondary structure includes four short double-helical elements and three loops (D, anti-codon, and T loops). The record is from RNAcentral. Lineage: Bacteria; Pseudomonadati; Pseudomonadota; Gammaproteobacteria; Methylococcales; Methylococcaceae. RNAcentral also lists the same sequence under 2 other names.
GGAGAGAUGGCCGAGUGGCUGAAGGCGCUCCCCUGCUAAGGGAGUAUGGGUUUUAAAGCCCAUCGAGGGUUCGAAUCCCUCUCUCUCCGCCA